GAAAGAAAAGUUAGUGAAAGCUGAAAAAGAAAUGUUAAUACAAAAUUGAAUUGAAAAUUUGAACAACUAAGGACUUAGAAAAAUCAAACCCAUAAAUAUUUAUAAUUGAAAGGCCAAAACCAAAUAACCAAAGCCAAUAUUCCUCCACCUCCACUGCCAUAAGAAAAGACAGCAACCACACAUCGGCAACAGGUGAUGGAUCACGGGGUACCCUUAAUCAAUUCAGAACAAGGGGUGCCACGGUUGGAGCGGGCAAUGUCCUGAGGCUCCGUGAAGCUGGUUGAUUUAUGUUUUUUUGUCACUUGCCAGAGGGUUGGAUUGGCAAAAGAAUCGCGCCCGACAGACUGAGCCGAAAGCCGGUGCUCAAAUGCCAGCAACCAGCGCCCGCCAGUCCUACAACUUACUCCGAUGGUAAGGGACACUUGGGUCCAAGACAAAUGUGUUACAUGCUCGUUGGAUGCCCUCCAUGCCCAGAAGGAACAAUAAUAAUAUGGAGCCAAGAACCUUUGCUAAUGUCGCUAAGGACAGCUUGGUGAUGAUAGUUGUCGAAAAACGAGAAAAACGGGGCUGCAUAACUAGGAACAUUUGGAGUGGGGUAAUCAAUGGACUGUCAUCUUGUAUUCUCCGAUGUCUUUGCGGAAAUGCCUGGGCCACCUCCAGUUUGCGACGAUGCAGGCCGAUACAAAUUAAUUCCUUUCGGGGAUAAACGCUCAGCUUAAAUGUAUCGUGGUGGAUUGGAUGAGACUGACGGCGAUCAGAGACAUGUAGUAUUCGUACUAAACUACGACUGUCUCGCAGACCUUAAAAAGUCUGAAUGAGUUCUAUCCUACGAAAUCAACAAGUUGAGACUAGAGGUAUAAGAAGCGGUGUGGUUGCCGAAUCAGUCUGAGGAACUAUCAACCACAUCUCUAAAUCAUGGCGAAUUGUAGGCAACUGAAAAUUCCCCUGGAAAACGGGACAAGCCCUGUGUGUGUGUGGUCAUCCGGUUGGUUUGGG
Stomoxys calcitrans (stable fly) is the source of this 996-nucleotide long non-coding RNA. RefSeq lists it as uncharacterized. The transcript is spliced from 3 exons. The record is from RefSeq and is a predicted model, not a curated record. Lineage: Eukaryota; Metazoa; Arthropoda; Insecta; Diptera; Muscidae.